Oryzias melastigma (Indian medaka) is the source of this 1196-nucleotide long non-coding RNA. RefSeq lists it as uncharacterized. The transcript is spliced from 4 exons. Lineage: Eukaryota; Metazoa; Chordata; Actinopteri; Beloniformes; Adrianichthyidae. The record is from RefSeq and is a predicted model, not a curated record.
ACAAUGAGGAGACCCACGCCAGGCCUCAUGUCAGAACACUGACACAUCCUGAUGAGCAAACCUUCCAGAGCUGGAACAUCAAGUGGAGAAAACGAGGCUGUGAAGGGAUUCCCAGCCCUAAUUUCUGGAAGAAAAACAAGAUGUGAAUGGGGGAACAUACAAACUUCACAUAGAGAAGACCCAGACAGUAUUUGAACCAGGAUCUUCUUGCUAUGAGAUGCACGACUUAUCGAACACAUGGAGGAACUUCCCUGUAAAGGAACUUGAAGGAGACAGAGGAGUAACUCAACACCUGACACAUCGAGCAGAAAAAGGGAUUCUACAUGUCCAUGAUCUCCUUUGGGGUCACGGGGCUGCUGGAGCCUUCCCCAGCUACUGCUGGGCUACAGCUGGGCACACCCUGAACAGGUCGCCAGUCUGUUGCAGGACCACACAGAGACAGACAACCACAUUUUGCAGGACAUGAAUGUUUUAAACUGAGCUUCACUGACUAAUCGUCUACUAAACUCACAGCUCCUGCACAGAUUCCAUACAUGUCAUUAAAUUGGUUCACUUUGGUUUUUCAUCUCAGUUAAAUAUGGGGAAAACUUCAGACUAGAACACUAUCCAGAAGACCAUCAUUAACCCCCCCCAUAGUCUGGGUAAGCCACUAAUGCUCAUUACUAAGGAGGCACUGUGUCCAGUCAGAUCAAUAGAAAGUUUAAUGGAAGGACAAAAUGUGUCAGGAGAAGAUGCACAACGGGCUUCAGCAGAUUAUCAAAAGGACGAGUUCAAAAACCUGCAGACUUCCAGAAAGAGCUUCAAGAACCACCACAUUCAGAUGGAUUCUGGAGAUGGACUACAAUUGUCGGGUCCCUCGGAUCAAGACAGUUCUGAGCCUGGACCAAGGGAGAAAAUGUCUCAACUGGACCAAGGAGAAGAAGGACUGCUCUGUUGGCCAGAUGUCUUGUGUUCAAAAAUCCCUGCAACAAUGUAGCAGAAUGUUCUAGAGGUCUUCAUGAUUCCUUCUGCUGAGGAUCUGGAUGGAGAUGCAGAUUUCAUCUUCCAGCAGGACCUGGUCCCUGCCCAUACUAUUAAAGUAUUGAAAAUGACCUACCAUUUUGAAAAUACUUUAUCUUGAUUUGAUGAGAUCAUAGUCUCUGUCUUUUUUUAAAUCCUGUUUUUGGGGGUUUAUGAGCUGGAACCCCGAUAUAAGU